This 105-nucleotide small nuclear RNA is filed under the name Piliocolobus tephrosceles (Ugandan red Colobus). RNAcentral's name for it is "U4 spliceosomal RNA (ENSPTEG00000010642.1)". It matches the Rfam family "U4 spliceosomal RNA". From Rfam's summary of the family: U4 small nuclear RNA (U4 snRNA) is a component of the major U2-dependent spliceosome. The structure of U4 snRNA from yeast and human has been reported. Lineage: Eukaryota; Metazoa; Chordata; Mammalia; Primates; Cercopithecidae. The record is from Rfam by way of RNAcentral.
AGCUUUGCACAGUGACAGGAUCAUAGCCAAUGAGGCACGCUUAGUGCUAAUUGAAAACUUUUCCCAAUACCCUGGCAUUGCAAUUUUUGACAGUCUCUGUGGAGA